CUCUUUCUAUGUAAUCUUUUGUUAGGGAUAUUUUGUGUGCGGGAGAUUUUGGGUUGGUAGUACGGAGCGUAGGGUGGCAAUGGAGUGAUUCCCGCGUUCGAAAAGGUUCCGAGACGUUAGAUAAAAACGAACAGGUUUGAACAAGAUUGAGAGAGAGUCGAACAUGAGAGUUGGUGCGUGGCAGAGGUAAAAAGACGGGUAUCGCGAGAAAAGACGGACAAAACGGGUGUGUUUUGAGAAGUAUAAACGCUGAACUGAAUUACAUUGUUAUUUUGUUUGAAGUUUCAAUAAAGUUGUUGAUUAGUUAAAUUUA
Onthophagus taurus is the source of this 313-nucleotide non-coding RNA. The record is from RefSeq and is a predicted model, not a curated record. NCBI's taxonomy places the organism in Eukaryota, Metazoa, Arthropoda, Insecta, Coleoptera, Scarabaeidae.